This 142-nucleotide unclassified non-coding RNA is filed under the name uncultured Acephala. RNAcentral's name for it is "partial internal transcribed spacer 2". The record is from RNAcentral. Lineage: Eukaryota; Fungi; Ascomycota; Leotiomycetes; Helotiales.
GACCACUCAAGCCUAGCUUGGUAUUGGGGCACGCGGUUCCGCGGCCCUCAAAAUUAGUGGCGGCGCCGGUGGGCUCUAAGCGUAGUACAUACUCCCGCUAUAGAGUUCCCCCGGUGGCUCGCCAGAACCCCCAAUCUUUACA